AACAAACCUUUGAAGUUUUAAAUCUUUUUCUAUUACCUUGUAGCAUCUCCCUACUCGAACGUUGAGUAGGGUUUUUUAU
Molecule: unclassified non-coding RNA, 79 nt
Filed under: Bacillus subtilis subsp. subtilis str. 168
Lineage: Bacteria; Bacillati; Bacillota; Bacilli; Caryophanales; Bacillaceae
Description: putative small conserved untranslated RNA
Source: RNAcentral